GGGCCCGCACAAGCGGUGGAUCAUGUGGUUUAAUUCGAAGCAACGCGAAGAACCUUACCUGGACUUGACAUCCUCUGAAUGCGGUAGAGAUAUCGUAGGCUCGCAAGAGACAGAGAGACAGGUGCUGCAUGGCUGUCGUCAGCUCGUGUUGUGAAAUGUUGGGUUAAGUCCCGCAACGAGCGCAACCCCUACUUUUGGUUGCCAUCAUUAAGUUGGGCACUCCAGAGGGACUGCCGUCGUUAAGACGGAGGAAGGUGGGGAUGACGUCAAGUCCUCAUGGCCUUUAUGUCCAGGGCGACACACGUGAUACAAUGGUAGGUACAGAGGGAAGCCAAACGGCGACGUGGAGCAAAUCCCAAAAAACCUAUCUCAGUUCGGAUUGGAGUCUGCAACUCGACUCCAUGAAGCUGGAAUCGCUAGUAAUCGCGGAUCAGCACGCCGCGGUGAAUACGUUCCCGGGCCUU
RNAcentral lists this ribosomal RNA (464 nucleotides) under uncultured bacterium. Its description in RNAcentral is "bacterial SSU rRNA". It matches the Rfam family "Bacterial small subunit ribosomal RNA", at positions 917 to 1382 of the family's 1533-position model. The record is from RNAcentral.